RNAcentral lists this ribosomal RNA (247 nucleotides) under uncultured bacterium. Its description in RNAcentral is "partial small subunit ribosomal RNA". It matches the Rfam family "Bacterial small subunit ribosomal RNA", at positions 26 to 285 of the family's 1533-position model. The record is from RNAcentral.
AGGACGAACGCUGGCGGCGUGCUUAACACAUGCAAGUCGAGCGGACAUCUUCGGAUGUUAGCGGCGAACGGGUGAGUAACACGUGGGCAACCUGCCCCUAGCUCUGGGAUAACUCCGGGAAACCGGGGCUAAUACCGGAUAUGACCGAUCCAUGCAUGUGGGUUGGUGGAAAGUUUUCGGCUAGGGAUGGGCCCGCGGCCUAUCAGCUUGUUGGUGGGGUGAUGGCCUACCAAGGCGACGACGGGUA